AUUAAAGUUGUUGCAGUUAAAAAGCUCGUAGUCGGAUGUCGGGCUCGGGCAGGCUGUCGGCUUCGGUCGGACGGCAGGCUCGGGUCUUUCUGCCUGAGGAUCCCGUUGCACUUAAUUGUGGGGCGUGGGGACGCAGGCCGUUUACUUUGAAAAAAUUAGAGUGUUCAAAGCAGGCCUACGCUUGAAUACAUUAGCAUGGAAUAAUGGAAUAGGACUUUGGUGCUAUUUUGUUGGUUUAUGGGACCGAAGUAAUGAUUAACAGGGACAGUUGGGGCCGUUUAUAUUUCGUUGUCAGAGGUGAAAUUCUUGGAUUUACGAAAGAUAAACUUCUGCGAAAGCAUUCGGCAAGGAUGUUUUCAUUGAUCAAGAACGAAGGUUAGGGGAUCGAAGACGAUCAGAUACCGUCGUAGUCUUAACCAUAAACUAUGCCGACUAGGGAUCAGUGGAUGUCAAUUUGCGACUCCAUUGGCACCUUGUGAGAAAUCAAAGUUUUUGGGUUCCGGGGGGAGUAUGGUCGCAAGGCUGAAACUUAAAGGAAUUG
RNAcentral lists this ribosomal RNA (541 nucleotides) under uncultured Cryptophyta. RNAcentral's name for it is "SSU rRNA". It matches the Rfam family "Eukaryotic small subunit ribosomal RNA", at positions 603 to 1155 of the family's 1831-position model. The record is from RNAcentral. Lineage: Eukaryota; Cryptophyceae.